GCAAGUCGAACGGUCUUUCUAUGGAAGCUUGCUUCCACUGAGAAGAUAGUGGCGAACGGGUGAGUAACACGUGGGUAACCUGCCCAUAAGAGGGGGAUAACAUCCGGAAACGGGUGCUAAUACCGCAUAGUUUUCUUGAUCGCAUGAUUGAGAAAGGAAAGACGGCCUUUGUGCUGUCGCUUAUGGAUGGACCCGCGGCGUAUUAGUUAGUUGGUGAGGUAACGGCUCACCAAGACGAUGAUACGUAGCCGACCUGAGAGGGUGAUCGGCCACAUUGGGACUGAGACACGGCCCAAACUCCUACGGGAGGCAGCAGUAGGGAAUCUUCCGCAAUGGACGAAAGUCUGACGGAGCAACGCCGCGUGAGUGAAGAAAGGUUUUCGGAUCGUAAAACUCUGUUGUCAGAGAAGAACAAGUUGGAGAGUAACUGCUCCAGCCUUGACGGUAUCUGACCAGAAAGCCACGGCUAACUACGUGCCAGCAGCCGC
Molecule: ribosomal RNA, 488 nt
Filed under: uncultured bacterium
Lineage: Bacteria
Description: bacterial SSU rRNA
Rfam family: Bacterial small subunit ribosomal RNA
Source: RNAcentral